RNAcentral lists this ribosomal RNA (207 nucleotides) under Clostridioides difficile. Its description in RNAcentral is "partial 23S ribosomal RNA". It matches the Rfam family "Bacterial large subunit ribosomal RNA", at positions 2646 to 2855 of the family's 2925-position model. Lineage: Bacteria; Bacillati; Bacillota; Clostridia; Peptostreptococcales; Peptostreptococcaceae. The record is from RNAcentral.
CGCAGGAGUGGGAAGUUUGGGAAGGCCUGGAUCUAGAAGGGGAGGACCGGGAUGGACGUACCUCUGGUGGACCAGUUGUCCUGCCAAGGGCGUGGCUGGGUAGCUAUGUACGGAAUGGAGAAGCGCUGAAAGCAUCUAAGCGCGAAGCCAACUUCAAGAUAAGAUUUCCCACCGCAAGGGUAAGACCCCAGAAAGACUAUCUGGUUG